UAAAGUGGGGCUACUGAUGCCCCCACUGGGACAUGCCCUCGGGCCAGGCCUCCCCUACGUCCUCUUGGGGCCAUCCAAGGGAGAGUCCAGAUCUCUGUGCCCAUGUGAUGGUCUUGGCUUCACUCUCAGAAGGCCCCCGAGGGACCACAUCAGCCAGUUUGGCGGGGACCCUCCUUCUGCCUAUGAGGUGCAGUCCAGUCGGCACUGCCUUCCCUAGAGGAGGAGCUGCCUCUGAGUGGCCUGUGGCCUUGCUCUCCUUUCCUUGGGUGGGGAUGACAUGUGGGAAGCUGAGGGCAUCCAUCCCAAGGGUCAGGUUCCCAGAACUCUGGGAAGCCAGGCCAGCCUGGCCCCUGUAGUGAGACCCAGGGAAGGAGAGGGACCUGGCCGGGGCCGCCAGGACUGGAUUGGUGCACGAGGACCCGAAGUGCCCCUGGGGCUGGCACUGCUCCUCCAGCCCUGGCAGCCUCCCCAGGACCGAACUGGGGGGCCGCAGGAGCACAGUUGAGAAGGUGCUGGGGUCUCCUGUCCAAAGGGAAGCAGCUCCUCAGGAAACUGGGCUCUGGGAGGAAGGAGUGAAGCUGUGGCCCUUUCUGGAGUGGCCCCUGGAGACACCCAGGUCACUGCUGUGGCUGGACAGGGGAGGCCCUGCCCCGUCCCAGAGCUCCUGGUCUUUGUAGCGUUAACACAGUGGCACUUGGAUGGGAAUCAAAGAGAAUUGGUGAAGGUGGGAGCCUAGGGUGGGUCUUGAGGGGUGCGUCCUCUAGCUGGGCCCCUUCCCCUUGUAGGAGGGAAACUCCUCCCCGCAGUGAGUAACCUGACCGAGCUCACGGAGCCCCAGUGAGACCAGGAUGGGACUCAGGUCUCUUGACUCCCAGUCCACCCACCUAGUCCAAUCCUAGUUUCCCACCAGGCUGUGUAGGUCCCUUCUUUGACCCUCUCUGUACCCAGGACGGAACCCUGAGGGGAGAAGGGGCCUGUCUCCACAGUGGCUCUGGCUGUCCUGAUUGGAAAGCUUGCAUUGGAGUCUCCCGUGGGGGCGGCGGGCGGAACCUUGUAUAUAUGUACAUACUCAGUGCCUCACUCCAGCCCCUCCAUUGCGCCUCAGCCUCCACCGCACAGGCUGGGGAGGGAGAGGGCCAGGCCGGGAAGCGGGCCUCACCCCGCCCCGCUGUGCUCCACCCCUCCCUGCCCCGCCGCCUGGCCCCUGUGCACCCUCCUUGAAACCCAGGGGACCAGGGGGCAGAAAGCAGGAGUUGGGUUUGCCUUAUUUUGCUCAUUGGAUUCAACUUCUCUUUUGCAUUGUUUUCCUCUGACCCCUGUGGGUGUCCAGGGGCUGAGAAUAAGGACAGAUUUAUGCAGCUAUUUUCAUACAUUCCCUGUUCAGAGUGGGUAGGGGCUUCUCCACCCUUCCCAAGCUGCCCAUCCCUCACCCUGGCUGGGUGAAUGUCUCUCUGCAUGUUUCUUUCGCUGUGGUGGGAGAUUGUUUAGAACCCCGCCUCCAUCCUGGUCUCCAGGGGUGUGGAAUGGUGGAGGCAUUUGUUUAAAAAGAC
RNAcentral lists this long non-coding RNA (1550 nucleotides) under Heterocephalus glaber (naked mole-rat). Its description in RNAcentral is "lncRNA (ENSHGLG00000034548.1)". Lineage: Eukaryota; Metazoa; Chordata; Mammalia; Rodentia; Bathyergidae. The record is from RNAcentral.